Long non-coding RNA from Zingiber officinale, 3471 nucleotides. RefSeq lists it as uncharacterized. NCBI's taxonomy places the organism in Eukaryota, Viridiplantae, Streptophyta, Magnoliopsida, Zingiberales, Zingiberaceae. The record is from RefSeq and is a predicted model, not a curated record. The transcript is spliced from 5 exons.
UUCUGUUAAUGAAUUUUCGCUCAUCAACGGAGGGUUAGGAUGAUUAAAUUUGGUAGGACAGACGAAUGAGCAAAUAGGUGGUCGGCGAGGCGAGCAAAUAGGUGAGCGGCAUCUGCAUGCGAAGCGGCCACUGCCUCGCCAAGCAAGGAGCGGCCGCCUCGCCAAGCAACGAGUGGCCGCUCCCUUAUUUCCUAAUUUCCUUUCCGCCAAAAUCUUUUCCCACGAGCCUACCUCCCAAUUCCAUUACCUCUUCGCAUUAUCGGCACGAACAAGCCGCCUCGCACCCUCUCGGCAAGAUUCCCUUUCCCCAUUCCCUUCUCAUCUUCCUUGACGCCUUCUUUUUCCAUCGCCAUUUAACAAAUUUAUUUAUUUUUUUAUCUUCUGCACCUCCAUUCACGGUACGGGAGCAUGCCUUCGCAGAUGAUGGCAACAUGGAGCAUUGCGUUAAAGUACCAAAACCAGACACUAGUGACAUUUGGAUUCUUUGCCUCCCUCGAUCUCUUUGUCACAGAUCUCAUGCGUUCAAUUCGUCACCAUUCUUACUUUUCUUUCCUUUUCUUUUUUUACAUCUUUUAUGUGUUUUUCUAUAGUUUUUUAUAUUUCGGAUCUGAAUGAAAUGUUGGCUACAGGUCUCAAUUAUGAGGACUUGCAAUUGAAGUCAUUCUUUGGUUCAACAGGGGACAUUAAGUUUAGAGAGAGCUCUAAUGAAUAUAAACAAAGGUAAAGUUGUAUUCUUUUUUCUUCAUUUGAUUUUUCUAGUAAUUUUCCCCACUAAAUUAGUGAUGCUAUUGUUUUCAGUUAAUGAUUGACAAAAGAUCACGAAGUCAGCAUGUAACUGGAAGUGGAUUUUUUUUUUUUUUAAUUCUUGUUUCAAGUUAUGAUUUUAAUUUGUUGAUUUGAUAUUCAAGAGAUUUAUAAGGAACAUAGAGUUAAACUUGACAAUCUUGGAACCAGUGUCUGAUGAUUUUCAUGUUCAUUCUUUUCUUCUGAGUUGAAUGUUAGCAAUUAAAAGAUCCAUGAUUAAUUUCCUAAACUUAUAGUUGACAAUAACAGAAACGUCUGAUGAUUUUCAUCUAUACCCCUUUCUUCUGAGUUGAGCAAAGUUAGGAAUUGAAGGAACCCUUACCAAAUGCCUCAAAUUUUGUUCAUCUAUUCUGCGUGCUCAAAAUCUUCUAUUCUAUGCUUUUUAAAGAUGUUUUUUACUUAUUGCAAUAUGAUUUUCAAUAUUAGAGGAAAAAGUUGAAAGACUUGAGACACAGUUAGCUGCAGAAGAUAGGGAGCUAACCACUUUAAUCAGAAUGGGUUGUCAAAUUGGAAUUAUUAUUUUUUUGCAUUUUUUGUUUUAAAUCUCUAAAAGUAUGUUUGAACAAGAAGCUAAAAUAAAGCUAAGUCUGAAAGCUUAGAUUUAAAAGUUGCACAUAUAUGCAUUGCUUGUGUGCAUAUAGUUGUUCUAUUGGUGUUCAUUUUUUUUUUUCAUUUAAAUGGAAUAUGCAUUCAAUUUAUAUUUUCAGUUAGCAUAAUUCUAUUACAAUGUAUUUUUUUAUUGAGGUACCCUUGAUUGGUUCUUUCUUGCAUUGUUAACAUAAUAAUAUUUUUUUGUUUGAUGAGAUAGAUCGAGUUUAACAAGCUUGAUGUGGCAUUUCCUCUAUGAUAUUUCACUCCUAUUUUUUAUCUCAAAUAAUUCUGGAACCAAAAGGCAAAAACCAAUAUAUAGUAACCCUUUAUCUCCAAAACAAGGUAUGUGAUCUUGAUGAACUACUGCCCUCUACCACUGCUAUCUACUGAUAUCCUUCUUAAGGGGCUCCUUUUUCUUGCAAACCAGCUGAUAAAAGGGUUUGUGUUGUUUCUAAUUUGCUUCCCAUGUUUUUGACAAGGAUUCAGCAGCACAGACCCAAGAAAUGUUUUUGCUCUGAAUUCCGUGUCUAAUUAAUGGGCGAAUACACCUCCAAGCUACAAGAAUUCGGCUCCCAGCGAUCAAUGGAAAGGAGUCAACUUCAGUAAUUUAAGGGUGAUACGACAGUGAAUUUCCUUGCCACCUGAUGAAUUGUUCAUUUGUUAUUAAUUGUAUCUUCCUUUUGAUCAAUAUUAAUCUGAAAGACUACUACAGGAACUAUUUAACAUGGAUUUUAAUGGUAGUUUGAGUAGUGACAUAGGAAACCUUAGUGAAUUGGAAGAAUUUCAAGUGCCUUGUAAGUCUACAAACGCUGAGAAAUUGGAGAUUUAAUAUAUGAAUAUUUGGAUGUCCAUAACUGUAAGGUCCACUUCCAACAAGCAUUCUUUCAUGAACUUAAUAUAUGAAGUUGUUGCAGUUAUUGCCCAUGAACUUGGACAUUGGAAACUCAAUCACACAAUGUAUUCUUUCAUUGCUGUUCAGGUGUUUUUUUUAUACUCCACUUCAAUAUUUCUGAAGCAUCUUAUCAUGUUUAAUGCCACAAUAUUUGUAAAAUCAUGAUUUUGAUUUUGAUUUUGACAUCUGAUAGAAUUUAUUGGACUAAGUUGGCAGACUAAGAAAAGGUGAUCAUUCAUUCUGCCUUUAUCUGAACUCUUGAUAGAUUUAUGCUCUUUAUCUGAACUCUCUGGAUAGAUUAAUCUAUAAUGUUUGUUCUAAAAGCCUAAUGAAACCUGCAAAUUGUUCCUUUUAAAAUAUUAAAAUCUUCAAAAUUUGUGAAAGUAAGGAAAUUCUUAAUUGCUCUUUAGUAGAUUUAGAAUGGAGCUUUGAAUUCAUUAAAAAAAAAAAAAAAAAGGCAGCCCGGUGCACGAAGCUCCCGUCAUGCGGAGUCCCGGGGAAGGAUCCAUUAGCCUUACCCUGUUUUUUCCAAGAGGUUAUUUUCAGGAUUCGAACCCGUCACUUUUUGGUCACAUGGCAACAAUUUUACCGUUGUGCCAACUGUCAAGACUCCCCUUCUGGAGCUUUGAAUUCAUCUGUUUAUUUAAAUAAAGGAAUGCAACAUUUGAGCUUUUUAUUAGGCAGGAAUUUCAAGAGUUGUAAUUGGCUUGAGACAUGCAUUCCAACAUUUAAGAGAGAAAGUAAUCCAGUCAUUAAGAAAUGAAGGUGUUCAAGUUGAUGUUCUUGGGGAGGACUUACAGAGUAAAACCUUUGAGGGAGGAAGAUAAAGAAGAUGACUUAAGAGACUUGGUCAGAGAUAGGAUGUUUGAAAAGGGCCAAAGCAAGCGGAUAUGGGAUGAGCGGUAUAAAAUGUUAGAUGCUCGAGAUCUCAAGGGACAAGAUGCUUACCACUUGGAGAAGCACUUAAAGGAGCACUUUCGGGUGAAACACUUAAAGGAGCACUUAAAGGUUCCAGAUGUUUUACCAUCAUUCUCAAUAUGAUGAAAUAAAAAGUAAGUGAAUUCAUCUAUUCCUAUGUGGAUGCCUAAGAUUCAUGUACAUUGUGAUAUAAAUUUUUAGGUUGUAUUUAGAUAUUUGUGAAUACAUUUUUAGUUGAAGUUGGUCAAACGUGUUUUUGUGAAUAC